Molecule: transfer RNA, 64 nt
Filed under: Monodelphis domestica (gray short-tailed opossum)
Lineage: Eukaryota; Metazoa; Chordata; Mammalia; Didelphimorphia; Didelphidae
Rfam family: tRNA
About the family: Transfer RNA (tRNA) molecules are approximately 80 nucleotides in length. Their secondary structure includes four short double-helical elements and three loops (D, anti-codon, and T loops).
Source: Rfam by way of RNAcentral
CUUUGGCACAGUAGGUAGCGCAUCAGUCUUGCAAGCUGAAGGUCCCAAGUUAGAUCCAUGGAAG